GUUUUCUCACUUUCUCAACCGCCCCCUCCUUUCUCAACCGCCCCCUCCUCACGAACUCACAAAGCAACGAAGUGUUAUCAUCAAAGAUCCAUACGAUUCGAAGUGAAUGAAGGGUUUCCAUCGAAGAUCGAGACGAUUCGAAGUGAACGAAGGUUGAUGUGAUAAACUGGGUGGGUAGCUGCAGAGUGAAUUACAUUGGAAGGAUAGAGUUUUGAGUUCAAGUUUUAUGGCAGUGACAUGUUUUGAGUAAUCAUAGCUGCUUCCAUUUCUAUCCCAUGUGCAGAAAUCGCUGAAGUGAAAUUGGUGAGAAGUUAACAAAGUUCUAGAGAAUUAUUUUUAUUUGCUUUUCUUUUUAUGAACAUUGUAUAUUUCAUUUGCUGUAUCUGGGAUAAAAAAUGAUGAUUGAUUUUCGGAUAUCCGUUUAA
RNAcentral lists this long non-coding RNA (425 nucleotides) under Helianthus annuus (common sunflower). RNAcentral's name for it is "hypothetical non coding rna". The record is from RNAcentral. Lineage: Eukaryota; Viridiplantae; Streptophyta; Magnoliopsida; Asterales; Asteraceae.